ACGACCAAAUGUGUAAUUCAUGGUCCCAGCGGCCACUCUAGCUCAUGGUGUUCCGUUCGAACUUCGAAUACGAUCCAUUGGGAAUUCCUACGCAAUCCCUGUAGGUCGAUCCCGUCGUUGCACUGUCAUGCAGGAUUUUCAACAACGACAGAGAAUGAUUUAAUCCAUCGUAACAAUACGCAGGAGGUAGGCAGAUUACCCGGUAUUCAUCGCACAGGCGUCAGCGAAUUUACAAGUGACACCUUGCCGAGGCUUGGGGAUCAUGUAUCACCCUGCUCCCUCACUCCAAAUCGAAGAGACCAGAGGUAACCACAAGAUGAGAAGGUCGCAUCAAUAACUCGCCGGAAGCAUAACGACUAUUAUGUAAGAUGAUAUAUUUAGUUAGAUGUGGCUCUGAUAUAUAUACAUAUUCAGCUACGGAGUACGGAGUACACGUUGCUGUAAUCGCUUCAGCGAGUUUAGAUUCCUAUAUUGUCGGCAUGAUAAUAAGCAUAGCUAGCUAGUUAACAUUCUUUGAUAUUCACCCUCAAAAAGCAGGCGACAGAAAUCAAAUCCCUUAAAGAUUGAAGGGAAUCAAACGGGGGAAAAAAAAAA
This 594-nucleotide small RNA is filed under the name Histoplasma ohiense. Its description in RNAcentral is "hypothetical lncRNA". Lineage: Eukaryota; Fungi; Ascomycota; Eurotiomycetes; Onygenales; Ajellomycetaceae. The record is from RNAcentral.